AGGGGCAGCGAGAAGGAAGCUUGCUUUCUUUGUCGGCGUCCGGCGCACGGGUGAGUAACGCGUAUCCAACCUUCCCUAUAGUAGAGGAUAGCCCGGCGAAAGUCGGAUUAAUACUCUAUGUUAUUCAAUGCGGACAUCUAAGUUGAAUCAAAGAUUAAUCGCUAUAGGAUGGGGAUGCGUCUGAUUAGGUUGUUGGCGGGGUAACGGCCCACCAAGCCAACGAUCAGUAGGGGUUCUGAGAGGAAGGUCCCCCACAUUGGAACUGAGACACGGUCCAAACUCCUACGGGAGGCAGCAGUGAGGAAUAUUGGUCAAUGGGCGAGAGCCUGAACCAGCCAAGUAGCGUGCAGGAUGACGGCCCUAUGGGUUGUGAACUGCUUUUAUACGGGGAUAAAGUGAGGGACGUGUCCCUUAUUGUAGGUACCGUAUGAAUAAGGACCGGCUAAUUCCGUGCCAGCAGCCGCGGUAAUACGGAAGGUCCGGGCGUUAUCCGGAUUUAUUGGGUUUAAAGGGAGCGCAGGCCGAUGGUUAAGCGUGACGUGAAAUGUAGCCGCUCAACGGCUGAACUGCGUCGCG
Molecule: ribosomal RNA, 576 nt
Filed under: uncultured rumen bacterium
Lineage: Bacteria
Description: bacterial SSU rRNA
Rfam family: Bacterial small subunit ribosomal RNA
Source: RNAcentral